UAAGUUGGUAGUGAAAUCGUGUGGCUCAACCAUACACACAUUAUCAAAACUGCUCAGCUAGAAGAUGAGAGAGGUCGCUAGAAUUCCUAGUGUAGGAGUGAAAUCCGUAGAUAUUAGGAGGAGUACCGAUGGCGUAGGCAGGCGACUGGCUCAUUCUUGACACUAAGGCACGAAAGCGUGGGAGCGAACGGAUUAGAUACCCCGGUAGUCCACGCCGUAAACUAUGGAUGCUA
Molecule: ribosomal RNA, 233 nt
Filed under: uncultured Candidatus Saccharibacteria bacterium
Lineage: Bacteria; Candidatus Saccharimonadota
Description: partial 16S ribosomal RNA
Rfam family: Bacterial small subunit ribosomal RNA
Source: RNAcentral